UGAAUUUAAUAAACAUCUUCAUCACUUCUCGAAGAAACUUCGCCUGAAAUCAAGCAUCGAAUCUCCAAUAACAGAUUUCUUGAGGAAGAAAAGGGAUAGAUUGCAGCAAUGGCGGAUUCAGUGCUGGGAAUUGUUGCAGCUGCAGCCAUCACCUUCUACGCCGCAAGCUUAUCAGAGCAUCGAGAGGUAUUAUAGAAAUUGACUUGUACUGCGGAUGUGAAGGCUUAGCAUCGAAGGAGAGAACAUAUGGGAUAUCUGUGACAAACAGUAAAUAGUUGGAUCUGUUUCACCAUUUCAAGUUGUACCCUAAAGACGAGUCUGUUCUGGAAACAACAAAGAAACCUGAACAAGAGUUCGUGUUAGUGCAGAUUGUGAUACCCAAGGAUGUGCACCAUAGACCGGCAAGAGAAUCAAGAUACCUCAGAUCUUUCUAUAAUCAGUGGACUAACAUCGGUGGUCUGCCAUCCUGCAGUAAAAGGUGCAAGCAUAUCAUGCCCCUUGAACCUGUAAUUAAACCAUGUUUGUGAUCCAUGAGAAACUCAAUUGACUUUUAGUUCUGUUGUAGACGAAAGUGCAAUCAUUGUUAUCACAAAUCAUGCUUGAAUGAUGGAAGGCAUAAAUAGUUAAAGUUUAACCCUUGUACCUCGAAUCCUCUUUUUGUGCAGAUGCCUCUGUACCAUGUAAGCGGGACAGGAAAGGAGCGAGGACGACACGUUCCCGUGAUACUUUUCUAAAAGAAGUGAAUGCUUUUGUUAAGGAGCUCGGUAAUCUGAAACAAUGGAAGAAGAUCUUCUAAUUAUCAGAGAUGGAAAAGUCAAGCGGCUCCAUGAAAAAUCAAGGAAACAAAAUGGGUGGUUGAGAUUUCCACAUAGUUUGGAUCGAGCAAGAAUUGGGCGUUUGAUUUGUUACCUGAGGCCUGAGAGUGCAACGAAGGAGGUGGUUGACGGCCAUUGUUAGAGGGCCUCCGGAAGAAUGCGAGCGAGGAAUGGAGCUCAAAUGGCCGCAGAGAAAGAGAUGAGAAGGACGAGGGAGGAGGGGGGGCUGCCUCGUCUCAUAUAAUACGAGUGAAUUUAACGACAAAGUUGGAAGAAUCGAGCUUUCCCUUCAACCAAGGGGAAAUCCGCAGAAACCUGGUCUGAAAACACUGAAGCAUCGAUUUCUUGAGAAGGGAGCAAGGAAGGAAGGGGUAAAGGGAUGGAUUGCAGCAAAUGGGGGUUUCAGUGUUGGGCGAUGUUGCAGCCGCCGCCAUCACCGGGCUUCGAGAGAACAAAAGUUCGUGUUGAUGCAGAUUGUGGUACCUAAGGAUGUGCACCAUAGACCAGCCAGAGAAUCAAGGACAGGAAGCGAGUCGGGACGACAUAUUCCGAAGCUCGUCUUGAAGAUGCAACCGACUAUAACCAAGAAACAGAUUCAUAUCAAAUGAUAAGAACAAGGGACAAUAAGAACAUGAAGAAGAAGACGAUGAAUCGGGCGUUUGUUUGAUUUUGUUACCCGAGACCGUAGAGCGGAACGAAGAAGGUGAUUGAUGAUAGCCAUUGUAGGAUGUGUUCUCAAAGCUUCAAAUGGCUGCAUACACACACUCAGAACAUAAGAGCUGUGAUAUUUAACCACAAAUUUGGAACUGAAUUAGCUUGCUGUUCAUCCUUCCUUUUUCUCCAAUUCUUUAUAAUAUCUUGAACUCAUUAAAAAUGUUUGUAUUUAUUAUUUAUUGUUGCAUUAAUAAAUUAAUUGGCACUCA
Molecule: non-coding RNA, 1738 nt
Organism: Cucurbita pepo subsp. pepo (vegetable marrow)
Lineage: Eukaryota; Viridiplantae; Streptophyta; Magnoliopsida; Cucurbitales; Cucurbitaceae
Source: RefSeq, a predicted model, not a curated record